RNAcentral lists this long non-coding RNA (1975 nucleotides) under Fukomys damarensis (Damara mole-rat). RNAcentral describes it as "lncRNA (ENSFDAG00000027455.1)". The record is from RNAcentral. Lineage: Eukaryota; Metazoa; Chordata; Mammalia; Rodentia; Bathyergidae.
AUGGGGGAAAGGAGGAAAAAUGCCACCCUGCUUCAGUGGACUCCACGGGAGCCAUCUGUGAUGUCUGGGGCUGCUGCAGCCACUCUGUGGGCAGAAAACACCCACCUGCUGAGGUGGCUGAGUGGAACCAGAGACAACGCCUGGUUCCUUGAGUUACUCAAUCAGCCAACUGAAGAUCUUUCCAGCUCCAGAUCCUGCCUGAGAACACAAAACGCCCCUUACUGCUUUAACUCCAGGUGUCCAGGUCAUCUGUUAUUUGCAAGAAAAGUGCACCAGCAACCACAACGACAAAGCAAGGGAUGUGAUGUUCACUUUCACCUCCCUUUAAAGAGGACGAAACCACAAGGCAGCGAGGCCUCAUCCAGAACCAGAACCACAAGCAGGAGACAGCUGGGACCGUGUUAUCAGCCAAAGGACCCCCUCUCUUCCCCGGCCCAGGCUGCAACUCGACUAAAAGGCAGAUUGUCUGAGGCCAUGCUGCAGAGACAACAGGACUCUGUGUGCCCGGCCCUGCCCUGCCCGGCGACCGUCUUUGGGUUUCUCAAUAGACACUGGGCAAAAAGGCGAUCAGAAACGGUCCUGUGAUCUCCCUAAUUGCUUCCACAGACAAGUCCAAAAUGGGUAAAUUUCUUAAAAGACACAACUGAUUUGAUUGCACCCCUCGGCGUCUGUCUCCCCCCCCAGGGGAGCCCUGGUGACCCAGGCUGGGCACGGGUUCAAAGGCAGCCAGGCCCGUGGCUGCCCCGGAAACCCUGGGCCCACGUCUUGCCUGUCCAUCCUCCCGAGGCUGACCAAGUCCAACCCGGACAGCGCUGGGGCAGCCGCAUCCCCACGGCCCUCCAUGUACCCCCGAGAGCGCCCGGCCAGGAAGUAACUUCAAAGACACUCGCCUAUCACCUGCACCCCGCAGGGCCUCAGGCUGGCCGGAUCUCCAGGGAGGUGAGCGCCAGGGUCCUCCCCCCUUAGACUACCAGGGCUCCCCAAUUCUGCCCAGAAGUGGGGUCCCGCGGUGCCCGCCCCGCCUGCAUCAUCCGCAGAGGACAAGCCGGCCUCAGCCGCUGCCCCGGCCCUCCUGGGAUGGCCACACCUGUUGUGUGUUAGAUGAGCGAUUCCGGGGCAGGCAGCCGGCAAGACCCCUACGUUUGGAAUCUAAGGGAAUUCCCUGCUCUUCUAUGUUUUAACAAAUUAAGUACCAGGGACUUGUUUUUUUUUUUUACUUGUUCCCGCUGUUCAAAAAAAUUGUCCCCACUCACACUGCGGCUUCUGCCGCCUGCCAAGCGUCGGGGGCUGAGAUGCACACGGGAUGGGAGGCGGGAGCCUGGGAAACGCGCUCGGCGUUCCACUGCGCAUGCUCCCUGGGGACAGAGGGACCCCGGCUCGCACUGCUCCCUGCAGCGCCCCCCACUUGUCCGUCACACGUCACCAAGCCACGUGGGCUCGGGCCGAAAGGGAUAAAAUAAAGUUUAUUAUGCAAAAGAAAAGAAAGAAAUCACUUGAUAAAUUAAAUGUUGUGAGCCUCAUAUAAAAUAAAAAACAUGAAUGAAAUUAUUAAGAGGUCUUAUAUUUUUUGUUUUGCUUUUUGAGACAGAGUCUUACUACGUAGCUCAGGCUGCCCUUGAACUCACUAUGUCUCCCAGGCUGGCCUCAAACUCAGCAAUCCUCCUGCCUCCGCCUCCUGAGUGCUGGGAUUACAGGACUCUGCCGCCAUACCCAGCUUACCCCUAGCAUUUUUCAUUUUUUAUUUUGAGACAAAAUCUCACUUAAACUGUGCACACUGGCCUAGAGGCUGAGGAAGGAGGAGCACACAUCAGAGCCCAGCCUGGGGAUUUUAGCAACAGAGCAAUAUCCUAUCCCAUAAAUAAAAAAAUGUUUAUAAAGGAUGAUUAUUUCUUCACUCUAUGAAACCAAUACAACCUUGACACCAAAACAGAUCAGGACAAAACGAGAAAGGAAAUGUAUAGAUCAGUCAUAUGCA